AGUGAACGCUGGCGGUAGGCCUAACACAUGCAAGUCGAACGGCAGCACAGUAAGAGCUUGCUCUUACGGGUGGCGAGUGGCGGACGGGUGAGGAAUACAUCGGAAUCUACUUUUUCGUGGGGGAUAACGUAGGGAAACUUACGCUAAUACCGCAUACGACCUACGGGUGAAAGCAGGGGAUCUUCGGACCUUGCGCGUUCGAAUGAGCCGGUGUCGGAUUAGCUAGUUGGCGGGGUAAAGGCCCACCAAGGCGGCGAUCCGUAGCUGGUCUGAGAGGAUGAUCGGCGACACUGGGACUGAGACACGGCCCGGACUCCUACGGGAGGCAUCAGGGGGGAAUAUUGGGGAAUGGGCGCAAGCAUGACACAGCAAUGCCGCGUGGGUGAAGAAGGUCUGCGGAUGGUAAAGCCCUUUCGGCGGGGACGAUGGUGACGGUACCCGAAGAAGAAGCCCCGGCCAACUUCGUG
Molecule: ribosomal RNA, 467 nt
Filed under: uncultured bacterium
Lineage: Bacteria
Description: partial 16S ribosomal RNA
Rfam family: Bacterial small subunit ribosomal RNA
Source: RNAcentral